This 449-nucleotide ribosomal RNA is filed under the name uncultured bacterium. RNAcentral's name for it is "partial 16S ribosomal RNA". It matches the Rfam family "Bacterial small subunit ribosomal RNA", at positions 29 to 523 of the family's 1533-position model. The record is from RNAcentral.
AGCGAACGCUGGCGGCGGGCCUAACACAUGCAAGUCGAACGAACUCUUCGGAGUUAGUGGCGGACGGGUGAGUAACACGUGGGAACGUGCCUUUAGGUUCGGAAUAACUCAGGGAAACUUGUGCUAAUACCGAAUGUGCCCUUCGGGGGAAAGAUUUAUCGCCUUUAGAGCGGCCCGCGUCUGAUUAGCUAGUUGGUGAGGUAAAGGCUCACCAAGGCGACGAUCAGUAGUUGGUCUGAGAGGAUGAUCAGCCACAUUGGGACUGAGACACGGCCCAAACUCCUACGGGAGGCAGCAGUGGGGAAUCUUGCGCAAUGGGCGAAAGCCUGACGCAGCCAUGCCGCGUGAAUGAUGAAGGUCUUAGGAUUGUAAAAUUCUUUCACCGGGGACGAUAAUGACGGUACCCGGAGAAGAAGCCCCGGCUAACUUCGUGCCAGCCGCCGCAGUAA